AGCCCAUGCUGGUCUCUGCAUUCUCAGCUGGGCACCGGCUCCUCUGUUCAAUCUGCUACUGAAUUUACCAGAUGACGUUCACUGACUAAACCCAAUGUUUUGUUUUCAGCUUCUGUCACGACCACUGGCGGAUCCCACAGAGCUGACCCUCUUCUUAUGCUUUCAGACUCGCUGUCACAUGACCAUGCGUGGACGUCACAGUCGUUCCCUCUCAUGCUUUCAGACGCUCUGUCACGUGACCACAUGUGGACUUCACAGUGCUUCCCUCUCACGCUUUCAGACUGUCACGUGACUAUGCGUGGAUGUCACAGUCGUCUCCCAUGCUUUCAGACUCUGUCACAUGACCAUGCGUGGACGUCACAGCCAUCCCCUCUCACACUCCAUCUUGUUUGGUUUCCAUUCUCCAGGUCUCAUGCUCAUAAAACAGGUCAUGGCAACUGCAAGAUAACCUGAAACUCUGAAAGUGCUUCAGCCAGCCAUUCUAUUCAGAGCUGUCAGUAUUUGUAUGAGAGCGUCAAGGGAGCCCCUUGGCAGUCUAAGAGCACAGUUGAGCCGGUGGGGAACACAACAUGCCUUGCCUGGUUUCAUAGCUCCCGCAGUGAGCCGUAUCCUUUCACAGAAGAGAGGUUCAAGAAAUAUUUGCAGAAGGAAGAAACACUUCAUCACCCCGAGGCGGCACAGAAUACAAUUUAAAUUUGCUCAGACCUUAUCAACAAUCUCCAACUGUGGACAGGACACCUAAGCCGCUUGGCAUGGUCACUCCCUGCUCUGCCAACUCCUUUCUAACCUUGUGACUUGUGGGCCAUUCACUCCAAUCACAACUCAUCACCCCAGCAAUAAAGCUCCUUAGGAAGUACUACAAGAAUAUCUACCUCAUGGUACUGGACACAUGAAACACUCAAUAGAUGUUAAAUGUCAUGUUUAUGAAGGACUUAAAUGGUUAGAGGUAUAGUUUUUAGUGAAACCUCUAGUGAACACCUUUUUCAGUUAGUGUGAUAAAUUUAUCCGUUUUACACCCA
This is a long non-coding RNA of Mus musculus (house mouse), 1019 nucleotides long. RefSeq annotates it as predicted gene, 52207. The record is from RefSeq and is a predicted model, not a curated record. The transcript has 3 exons. NCBI's taxonomy places the organism in Eukaryota, Metazoa, Chordata, Mammalia, Rodentia, Muridae.